Non-coding RNA from Schizosaccharomyces pombe (fission yeast), 1673 nucleotides. Lineage: Eukaryota; Fungi; Ascomycota; Schizosaccharomycetes; Schizosaccharomycetales; Schizosaccharomycetaceae. The record is from the annotation of a GenBank genome assembly.
CAAAAAAUGAGAUAUCCAAUCUAGUAGUAGUAAGUGCGUAAACGCAAGAUCUACCGUUUAAACAAAUCAUUAGUCAUAAAACAGAAAAUACUUGGUAAAAAACAAGUUGCCAAUCAUCACAUUUUGCCUCAUUACUUUUAUCCUUUUUUGGCUUUCUUAUCCACCGUAGCAUCGUAGUUUUCUCGCGACCUCAUUGCCGACUGAGGAUCAGAAUUUGUUCUCAUAAGAUCACUUUUAUUAUGAGAAGUCGUUGAGUCAUGUAAAGAACGCUUAACUCCAAUAAGUCCAAUGUUUUCUUUUCUUUCGUUAAUAAUCGAUUCAGAGUCACGUAUCAUAGAGUUGUUAGAAACCGGGCUUGUUUGGCUAGAUUGCUUAAUUAUAGGUAAAACCGAUGCCCUCUGUACAGGUAAUGAUUUAGAAUGAUCGAUUAUUGAGGUUUUCCUAAUAGAAGGGCUGUCGAGACGAGGAUUAAAGUUGUUCGUGAAGGGAGCUGAAACAACUCCUUCGGCUGCGGCUGCGGCCCGUGCACUAAUAAACUUUGGAGAAGGUGUACCAGUAUUUGGCUUAAGUGGGUCGAAAAGCGUUUUUGGGGAAGUGUCAGUCACAGCAUUGCCAACGGAAUCACUGGUAUUUUGUGGAACAGCGACAGGAUAGGUGUGGCUUCUCUGCACUGGUUUAGCUGAAUUGUGUGAACCUUUAUCUUUGUUAUUUAUUUGAGUGCCAGCUUUUUCAGAAUGGUGGUUAUUAGCAGCAGGAUGGGCUGUGUCCUCUGCUACUGCUAAAUGAGCAAUUAUAUCAUCCUCUACAAAAAUAUUGUCUAGCUCUUCGUCUGCAUACAUUUCAAUUUCUCUUGUCUGUUCGUCAUUUAAUUCUGCAGCUCUACGAGGAGCUAAUUGUUCUCCCUUGUUAACCAGAGGUUGAUUGUUAACAGUCCUCGUGCUAUUUAAUGUUUUCUGUUUUUUUAUGAAAGACUCUCUCGCUGCAGGAUCUGUUUUACGGAACAAGUCACCGCUAUCAAAGUGAUAAGUGGGUGGUUUCAUUUUUCCAACUUCUCUAAGAUAGUAUUUGUCAUACAUGCAAUUUCCUAAACUGUUUCCAAAAUUUCGUAGAGCGCGUUUUAAGGCAUCUGUAGUGCCCUCUUUCUUGCAUUUCUCAAACGCUGAAGCCUUUCCACGGCAAUUAUCAAUAGAACCGUAUCCAAUAUCUUCAUGAUAGGCACCAUCUUUGAUUGUCACGCGAACAAUCACGCUCAAGCCAAGACUGAUACGUCCAUUUUCCUUAUUUUCGUCCAUAAAGUCAACAUUAAUGCUGCGUAUCGACGAAGACCACCCAUUAAAUCCAAAAAUUUCGUUCGCAAGCUCAAUUGCUUUCCAAGACUCAAUAUAACUGACUGAAAAACCCCCAGGACCUGACCUUCUUGAAACGUACUCAGGUCCAAGCUUUCGAGUUAGGGAGCUUUGAAGAAAGUUAAACUCUUCAUGAGAAUACGCUGUGUUAAAAUGGCCCUGGUCUUCUGAUGCUACAUGCUGUUUUUGCUCAAAAGACAUCCCUUCUAGCUUAUAUGAAGCAGUAUAUUAGCUGUGUGCACAUGGACAGGUACCAAGUAAUAAAGAAAGAUAAGGUAGCAUAGCGAGUAACCACUUAAUGAAAAUAAAGAUCUUACAAAUCAUCAG